GGCCCCAUCACACCUCACAUCAGGGAUCGAGUCCCGCUUCCUACAAAUGUAGGAAUUUGGUUAAUGGGUCGGCCAGUUUUUUUUAUUUUUAUUUUUUAAGCAAAAACAAAGUUUUUGCAAUUUUUGCAUAUUUUUUAAUUGGUAAUUAUUUUGCGUAAUCGUAUUAGAAAACGUCAUCACGCCAAUGUCCGUAUUACCAAUCACAUCUAAUUUUGAAAAAUUAUACCCUGGUUUGUACAAGUUUAGCC
This 248-nucleotide long non-coding RNA is filed under the name Capsella rubella. RNAcentral's name for it is "long non-coding RNA (CRUB_LNC002600)". The record is from RNAcentral. Lineage: Eukaryota; Viridiplantae; Streptophyta; Magnoliopsida; Brassicales; Brassicaceae.